CGCGUGAGGAACCUGCCUCAAAGAGGGGGACAACAGUUGGAAACGACUGCUAAUACCGCAUAAGCCCACGGGUCGGCAUCGACCUGAGGGAAAAGGAGCAAUCCGCUUUGAGAUGGCCUCGCGUCCGAUUAGCUAGUUGGUGAGGUAACGGCCCACCAAGGCGACGAUCGGUAGCCGGACUGAGAGGUUGAACGGCCACAUUGGGACUGAGACACGGCCCAGACUCCUACGGGAGGCAGCAGUGGGGAAUAUUGCACAAUGGGGGAAACCCUGAUGCAGCGACGCCGCGUGGAGGAAGAAGGUCUUCGGAUUGUAAACUCCUGUUGUUGAGGAAGAUAAUGACGGUACUCAACAAGGAAGUGACGGCUAACUACGUGCCAGCAGCCGCGGUAAAACGUAGGUCACAAGCGUUGUCCGGAAUUACUGGGUGUAAAGGGAGCGCAGGCGGGAAGACAAGUUGGAAGUGAAAUCUAUGGGCUUAACCCAUAAACUGCUUUCAAAACUGUUUUUCUUGAGUAGUGCAGAGGUAGGCGGAAUUCCCGGUGUAGCGGUGGAAUGCGUAGAUAUCGGGAGGAACACCAGUGGCGAAGGCGGCCUACUGGGCACCAACUGACGCUGAGGCUCGAAAGUGUGGGUAGCAAACAGGAUUAGAUACCCUGGUAGUCCACGCAGUAAACGAUGAUAACUCGUUGUCGGCGAUACACAGUCGGUGACUAAG
RNAcentral lists this ribosomal RNA (718 nucleotides) under uncultured bacterium. Its description in RNAcentral is "bacterial SSU rRNA". It matches the Rfam family "Bacterial small subunit ribosomal RNA", at positions 114 to 851 of the family's 1533-position model. The record is from RNAcentral.